GGUUGUUUGCCUCAGGUCCAAUCAGUGGAUGCCCAGCUGGUUGUUCGGUGCGAGGGAAUGACGUCUGAUCAUCAGUGAUCAGUGCUGAUGGCCCUGGGGGAAAUCGUGAUGAGGAUCGUGAUCGGUCAUGAUGAUCUGGGCUUGUCACGAUGACAGCUUGCCUGGGAUGUGGUUUAGUGCUGUUGCUGUUGCUGCUGCUGCUGCUACUGCUGCUGUUGUUCGCAUCGAGCUCGAUUUGACAGAUCAUGCAUGAGAGAUAGAGCACUUGGCUUUCGAUUUUUCUCUUGGACUUGGCCCAACUUACCAAUGACGCGGACCCU
This 320-nucleotide small RNA is filed under the name Histoplasma capsulatum. RNAcentral describes it as "hypothetical RNA". RNAcentral also lists the same sequence under 1 other name. The record is from RNAcentral. Lineage: Eukaryota; Fungi; Ascomycota; Eurotiomycetes; Onygenales; Ajellomycetaceae.